This 301-nucleotide ribosomal RNA is filed under the name uncultured bacterium. RNAcentral's name for it is "partial 16S ribosomal RNA". It matches the Rfam family "Bacterial small subunit ribosomal RNA", at positions 509 to 809 of the family's 1533-position model. The record is from RNAcentral.
CAGCAGCCGCGGUAAAACGUAGGUGGCAAGCGUUGUCCGGAAUUAUUGGGCGUAAAGGGCUCGCAGGCGGUUUCUUAAGUCUGAUGUGAAAGCCCCCGGCUCAACCGGGGAGGGUCAUUGGAAACUGGGAAACUUGAGUGCAGAAGAGGAGAGUGGAAUUCCACGUGUAGCGGUGAAAUGCGUAGAGAUGUGGAGGAACACCAGUGGCGAAGGCGACUCUCCGGCUUGUAACUGACGCUGAGGCUCGAAAGCGUGGGGAGCAAACAGGAUUAGAUACCCCUGUAGUCCCUGUCUCUUAUAU